CUCAAAAACACAAAAUAAAUAGCAAAAACAGAAGAACCAAACUUAAUCCAUUCCAGGAGUCAGUUUUGAAAUGUUCAAAACCAAGGCACAGCUUCUGAUUGGUGCAGGCGCCCUGGAAACAAUAGCCAACAGCUGCAUCAGAUGAUCAGCUUCUGGAAAAAGUUCAAAAACCGGAACACUUACUUCCAGGUUUUCAGCAUUUGGGAACCAAGGCGUUUGAGUACUAAGGUACCACUGUACAAAAUCAUUGUAAACAGGUUAAAACGUUAGCAGGAUUUUAAAUACACUUGUAAUGUAACAGAAUGUAUAGACCGUGGAUGUCCAACAGGUCGAUUGUGGUUCGAGGACCCGACCCCCGCGAUGUGAAAUAAAUACACAAGGACACGUGAUAUAAGGUUAAUGGGCAAGAAAAGGCCACAACUUUAUUGAUUACAGCAGUGAAAAGGUAUUGGCUUAGGCAUUGGAUGUCUAAAACAAGGGGGUUUAUUCACCAGUAGGUGGAGCCUGUUGAUGCUAAUCUAACUAUAGGCUCUCCCCUGAUGUCACCGGGGGUCGUGCCAUGGCCUCCCGCCAAGCAGGCAUCGGACAGAGUACACAACCGCCAGAUUCCUUUAACGGAAUACCCAAAAAUUGAAGGCAUAGGCGAUGGCCACACCCAGCCCUUCGACACACCACAACACAUUAUUCCAAUGCCUAACCUACCCACCAAUACCACAAAAAGUUGUGACGAUUGCUACGAGGUAGGCCAAAUGCCAAAUGGAAAAAUUCCUACCAGGCCCCCUAGACAACCAGGGCGACCAACCUAAGGUCCAUAGCAAGGCCAAAGAACAAAGACCCUGAGCUAAAAGGGAGUGGAGGGUGGGUGACUCACGACGAGAGGACGGAGAAGAAUGAGGCCGAGGAGAGGCUGGCACCGCCGCAAAAGGCUGCUGAACACGCCCCCUCGAAGGCACCUGGUUGGAUGCCUGCCGAGGGGGCGUGGGCACCAGCGAGGUGAGAGGAGGAGGCAGGGGGCUAAUGCCCCCUGCUAGGGGCGGUGCUCGGGCUCCCGCCCACAACCACUCCCCUCUCUUCCAGGGAGGAGAGUCUUUGUGAUCUACUUGUAGAUCCCCGGUAGGUUUUGGUAGAUCAUGGUCACUCGCUGGGUCCCUUUCCUUAGUGUAGGUAAAAUAGAAUCUGGACCUGUCCUGUCACUCCGCCCUUUAUUGUUGCACGAUCUGCAGAAUGGAAGACGGAAUUUACUCAGUGAGACUGUUUGUUUCCCUAGAGAUGUUUUGAUGAAUGGCCCUUUCUUCCUCAAGUUUAUGCUUGAAUUCCUCCUCCCUAAGAAAAGCUCAACAACUUUGACCUGAACCCAAAAAAACAGGGCUUUCCUUCCUAAAAAAGGGCGGUAGAGCACUGCCAGUUUUUAAUUCUGUGAGUAGAUCACAAUCUCAUGGGAGCUGGCCACCCCUAGUAUAGACAACUUAGGAAGAUGAAAAAUUGGAGAAGUAUUGAUAUGCAGUUGGAAAUAGAAUCAAAAGGACCCAUGGAUGGGAUGGAGGG
This is a non-coding RNA of Podarcis lilfordi (Lilford's wall lizard), 1545 nucleotides long. NCBI's taxonomy places the organism in Eukaryota, Metazoa, Chordata, Lepidosauria, Squamata, Lacertidae. The record is from the annotation of a GenBank genome assembly.